CCAGACUCCUACGGGAGGCAGCAGUGGGGAACAUUGCACAAUGGGCGAAAGCCUGAUGCAGCAACGCCGCGUGAGCGAUGAAGGCCUUCGGGUCGUAAAGCUCUGUCCUCAAGGAAGAUAAUGACGGUACUUGAGGAGGAAGCACCGGCUAACUCCGUGCCAGCAGCCGCGGUAAUACGGAGGGUGCAAGCGUUGUCCGGAAUCAUUGGGCGUAAAGAGUUCGUAGGCGGUAUGUUAAGUCUGGUGUUAAAUGCAGAAGCUCAACUUCUGUUCGGCACUGGAUACUGGCAAACUAGAAUGCGGUAGAGGUAAAGGGAAUUCCUGGUGUAGCGGUGAAAUGCGUAGAUAUUAGGAGGAACACCAGUGGCGAAGGCGGUCUGCUGGACAGCAACUGACGCUGAGGCGCGAAAGCGUGGGGAGCAAACAGGAUUAGAUACCCCGGUAA
RNAcentral lists this ribosomal RNA (445 nucleotides) under uncultured bacterium. RNAcentral's name for it is "partial 16S ribosomal RNA". It matches the Rfam family "Bacterial small subunit ribosomal RNA", at positions 331 to 793 of the family's 1533-position model. The record is from RNAcentral.